Molecule: ribosomal RNA, 307 nt
Filed under: uncultured Limnofilidae
Lineage: Eukaryota; Cercozoa; Limnofilidae
Description: bacterial SSU rRNA
Rfam family: Eukaryotic small subunit ribosomal RNA (bases 89-307)
Source: RNAcentral
GACUUCUGGUCUAAUGCGCCUGGCCCGCGGUCGUAAGACAUGUGAGUGCCGGUGCGCGUUUACCAUCCUUCUAGAAAACGAGUUUGGACUCGGGAUCUAGAUCAUUUACUUUGAAAAAAUUAGAGUGUUUAAAGCAGGCUAUUGCUAUGAAUACAUUAGCAUGGAAUAAUAAUCUAGGACUUCGGUUCUAUUUUGUUGGUUUCUAUAGCUGAAGUAAUGAUUGAUAGGGAUAGUUGGGGGUGCUAGUAUUGGCCGGUCAGAGGUGAAAUUCUUGGAUUCGGUCAAGACUAACUUAUGCGAAAGCAUU